CCUGUGCUUGUCCUAGAAUCGGCACCGAGGACAACGCCUCCGUUAUAGGUUACUCCAAUGAUGGUCGUUCCCAUCGAAUGAGGAGCAUCUAGAUGAAGAUCCAUUGAAGCAAAUCGAGCGUCGAAAACCCUAGAUAGCAAAGAAAUCCAAAGCCCUUGCAGCUGAGAAAUUGAUAUCGAUCGAAAAAAGAGCCCUCAAAAAAACCCAAAAGCUAUGGCAGAGG
Telopea speciosissima is the source of this 223-nucleotide long non-coding RNA. RefSeq lists it as uncharacterized. The transcript is spliced from 3 exons. Lineage: Eukaryota; Viridiplantae; Streptophyta; Magnoliopsida; Proteales; Proteaceae. The record is from RefSeq and is a predicted model, not a curated record.